This 1608-nucleotide ribosomal RNA is filed under the name Triticum aestivum (bread wheat). RNAcentral's name for it is "partial small subunit ribosomal RNA". The record is from RNAcentral. Lineage: Eukaryota; Viridiplantae; Streptophyta; Magnoliopsida; Poales; Poaceae.
AUGGCGCUCGCCACCAACACCGCCGCCGCGGCCGCCGCGCUGACCGGCGGCGCGGCCCAGCCCCGCCGCGCGGGGUUCCUCCCCCUCAAGCGCCGCACCAUCUCCGCGGUGCACGCCGCCGACCCCGCCCGGAGCGGCGGCGCGUCCGUCCCGGCGGCCGCGGCGGCCAAGACCUCGUCCCCGACCGUGGCGCCGGAGGCCGCGGCCGUGACCCGGCCCGCGAGCUGGUCCGUCGACAGCUGGAGGAAGAAGAAGGCGCUGCAGCUGCCCGAGUACCCCAACAAGGAGGAGCUCGACGCGGUGCUCAAGACGAUCGAGACCUUCCCGCCCAUCGUGUUCGCCGGCGAGGCGCGCCACCUCGAGGACCGCCUCGCCGAGGCCGCCAUGGGCCGCGCCUUCGUCCUCCAGGGCGGCGACUGCGCCGAGAGCUUCAAGGAGUUCAACGCCAACAACAUCCGUGACACCUUCCGUGUGCUGCUCCAGAUGGGCGCCGUCCUCAUGUUCGGCGGCCAGGUCCCCGUCGUCAAGGUGGGACGGAUGGCUGGCCAGUUCGCCAAGCCCAGGUCUGACAACUUCGAAGAGAAGGACGGCGUCAAGCUGCCGAGUUACAGGGGCGAUAACGUCAACGGCGACGCCUUCGACCUCAAGAGCCGCACGCCUGACCCCGACAGGAUGAUCAGGGCCUACGCCCAGUCGGUGGCGACGCUGAACUUGCUCCGCGCGUUCGCGACCGGAGGCUACGCAGCUAUGCAGCGCGUCAUCCAGUGGAACCUGGAUUUCAUGGAUCACAACGAGCAGGGAGACAGGUACCGUGAGUUGGCACAUAGGGUGGAUGAGGCUCUUGGCUUCAUGACUGCAGCUGGGCUGGGAAUGGACCAUCCGAUAAUGACGACUACUGACUUCUGGACAUCCCACGAGUGUCUCCUCUUGCCAUAUGAGCAGGCUCUUACCCGUGAGGACUCCACAAGUGGCCUUUUCUACGACUGCUCGGCCCAUAUGGUGUGGGUUGGUGAGCGCACUCGUCAACUCGAUGGGGCUCAUGUUGAAUUCCUCCGUGGUAUUGCCAACCCUCUUGGCAUUAAGGUGAGUGACAAGAUGAACCCUGCUGAACUGGUGAAGCUGAUUGACAUUUUGAACCCUUCAAACAAGCCGGGAAGGAUCACCAUAAUUACAAGAAUGGGGGCUGAGAACAUGAGGGUGAAGUUGCCUCAUCUCAUCCGUGCUGUCCGCAAUUCUGGACAGAUUGUCACAUGGAUUACCGACCCCAUGCACGGAAACACCAUCAAGGCCCCAUGUGGUCUGAAGACUCGUCCAUUUGACUCUAUUAUGAAUGAGGUGCGUGCAUUCUUCGACGUGCACGACCAAGAAGGCAGCCACCCAGGAGGUAUCCACCUUGAAAUGACUGGACAGAAUGUCACUGAGUGCAUUGGUGGAUCGCGGACUGUGACCUUCGAUGACCUGGGUGACCGCUACCACACCCACUGCGACCCAAGGCUGAACGCGUCGCAGUCUCUGGAGCUCGCUUUCAUCAUCGCCGAGAGACUCAGGAAGAGGCGGAUGAAGUCAGGACUCACCAACAACCUGCCACUGCCCCCAUUGGCUUUCUAA